UGUAGCUAUGUUCCUCUGGUCAUGCCUGAUCUCAGAAGCUAGGCAGGGUUGGGCUUGGUUAGUACAUCGAUGGGGGACUACCAGGGAACACCAGGUGCAGUGGCUACAC
Molecule: ribosomal RNA, 109 nt
Filed under: Monopterus albus (swamp eel)
Lineage: Eukaryota; Metazoa; Chordata; Actinopteri; Synbranchiformes; Synbranchidae
Source: RNAcentral